This is a long non-coding RNA of Hippopotamus amphibius kiboko, 555 nucleotides long. RefSeq lists it as uncharacterized. The record is from RefSeq and is a predicted model, not a curated record. The transcript has 4 exons. Lineage: Eukaryota; Metazoa; Chordata; Mammalia; Artiodactyla; Hippopotamidae.
UGUUGCUAUUGGGUUCGGUUUGGCUUUGAGAGAGGUUGACAUAUUUGUUAUACCUAACAUUUAGCCAGAAGUCAGGAAUUCAACCAGCAAUUAAAUAAUGGUUCCCAUGGUGAAGCAGUUUCACCUCUGUAUUGAUUUGCUUUAUGACCUGUUUUCUAGGCACUUACUUUGACAUCACCACUGCCCCCACAAAAAAAAAAAAAAAAAAAAAGGUGAGAACUGACUAUAUCACGGGUACCUAGACCAUGUGGAGAAAGGACUGAGACUGGAAGCAGAAAACAGACAUUGUCUGCACAGAACAAAGUACCAGACAACAGCUCACUCUAGUAAAGGGCUAUAAAUGCCAUAUGAGAAGGUCUUCUCAGUUCAAAACUUGUCGAAUCUCAAGCUUGUGCCUAUAGGAAAAUCCCUACACUUGUGUCAGUUAUAAAGUUACAUCUGACUUACAUGCCUGGUCUGGUGACUUCUACUAUCUUUUCAUGACUCCUAAAUUAUAGAGGUCCAAUAGAAGGCCUAACAAUUCAUGACAAAGCUGUUCUGGGACAAAGCUGGUGA